Molecule: long non-coding RNA, 1385 nt
Organism: Spinacia oleracea (spinach)
Lineage: Eukaryota; Viridiplantae; Streptophyta; Magnoliopsida; Caryophyllales; Amaranthaceae
Exons: 7
Source: RefSeq, a predicted model, not a curated record
CCGUUGUAAAAUAUCACCCAAAAUUUUCAUACCCAAAAUUUUCAUACAACUUGAAUUGUUACCAAAAAAAAAGAAAGAAAAGAAAUGGCAAACAGAAAUUAAAAAACACAGAGACUAAUUAUUCUAAAGGGAGGAGGGAGACUCGAGAAAUUCAUGAAUUUGGUCGACGCUCCUUCUUCGCAAUUCAGGAUUCGCAAUCGCAGUCACAUUUCUAGGGUUUACAGUAUCUGCAAUUCGCAAGUGAAGGGUUUAGAAGGACUGCAACAUCACCACGAAAAAGGAAGAGGUCAUCCCAUUCAAACUGUAUUCCCGUACAUCAGAUUCAAAAACUCCCGCAAGGAUAUAGCGUAUUCUAAACUUGCAAACUUAGACCCGCAAUAUGGAUUGUAUUAGAGGAAGAGAGGGACUCAGCUUGAUCAAAUCUAGAGAGAAUGAUUCUGAAUUAACUAAGAGAGUGUUUCUUAGGGUUAAUUGGAUCUGGAGAGCGGGAUUCCCAAUUAACUAGAGUUGGUUUUUUAGGGUUCGAAGUUCGUAAUACGGAAAUCUCAACUCACCGGCAAAGAGUUUUUUUUAGAGUUCAUCGAAUUUCUUGCAAGUUACCGGAUAUAUGGAUUGUUGGAUCUCUUGAUACAAGAGGGGAGACAAGGUAUUGCUUCAUAUUAAGCUAUUCAAGCUUCAAGUUGAGCACUGUACUCGCCAACCCUACAAUCUAACCUCUAAGAAACAUGUAUAGUUCAAUUAACUUCUGAUGAAGGCAUCUGUAAAUUGUUGGUGGAGUCACGCGGCUAUGUCUGCGAGGAGCACACAGUGACAACCAAAGAUGGUUAUAUUCUCAGCUUGCAACGAAUUCCAACAGGCUUGACAAACUAUACACUUGAAGACCGCAAGCCACCAGUGCUUUUGCAACAUGGGGUUUUAAUGAUUGUGAUAUGGUUUACAAUUCCAGCAAUUAAGCUCUCUAAAUCAAGAAGCACCUAUAAUGCACUCCAAUUGAUUUUUUUCUUCUAAUAUAUUCCACGGUUUUAUCUGAUAUUCCCGCUGAGUGCUGAGAUUAUAAAGUCUGCUGGUGUUGUCACGAAAACAGCUUGGGCAGGAGCUGCUUAUAAUCUCAUGUUCUACAUGUUGGCUAGUCAUGAGUAUGGUGAGCUAAAUGGAGAAUAAAAUGUAGAUCUAACAAAUGAGACGGUGGAGGCUCUUGUUUGUUUUUGAGUUAUUUUGUAAUUUAGAGUAAUGUUGAAUUUGUUUAUAUGGAUUUUUAUUUUAUGCAUUUUUUUCAUUAAAAACACUAAAUUAAUUAGUGAACGACUAUUUUGUAAUGCAUGUGUCCUAUGGGCACUAAUAUUGUAAUAUUACUCUUUAAGUCAAUAAAAAUAUUUUAUUAUUGA